AGAUAAGAUUUUUACUGAAAUUACUGUUUACCCUCCAAGAAGAUAGUCAUGGCAGAACGAGUCCUCAACCGUGUUCACAGCCUCCGCGAGCGCUUAGAUGAAACUUUAAUUGCUCAAAGAAAUGAAAUCCUGGGCCUCCUCUCAAAGAUUGAGGCCAAAGGAAAAGGAAUCCUGCAACAUCAUCAACUGAUUGCUGAGUUUGAAGCAAUUCCUGAAGAGAAUCGAAAGAAACUAGCUGAUGGGGCAUUUGGGGAAGUCCUGAGAGCCACUCAGGAAUCCAUAGUUUUGCCCCCAUGGGUUGCUCUUGCUGUUCGUCCAAGGCCAGGUGUGUGGGAAUAUAUUAAAGUCAAUGUCCAUGCACUGGUUGUUGAAGAGCUUCAAGUUGCUGAAUAUUUGCACUUGAAAGAAGAACUUGUAGAUGGAAGUUCGAACGGUAACUUCGUUCUUGAGCUUGAUUUUGAGCCAUUUAAUGCUUCCUUUCCUCGGCCUACUCUCUCCAAGUCCAUUGGCAAUGGCGUUGAGUUCCUCAACCGUCACCUCUCUGCAAAGCUAUUCCAUGGUAAAGAGAGUAUGCAGCCAUUGCUGGACUUCCUCAGAGUUCACUGCUACAAGGGAAAGACGAUGAUGUUGAAUGAUAGAAUUCAGACCCUGAAUGCCUUCCAGCAUGUGCUGAGGAAGGCAGAGGAGUAUCUAGCAACACUUGCACCUGAAACACCCUACUCCGAGUUUGCAAACAAGUUCCAGGAGAUUGGCCUAGAGAGAGGAUGGGGCAACACUGCCGAGCGUGUUCUCGAAAUGAUCCAACUUCUUUUGGAUCUCCUCGAGGCCCCUGAUCCUUGCACAUUCGAGAAGUUCCUUGGUAGAAUCCCCAUGGUCUUUAAUGUUGUCAUCCUUUCGCCCCACGGUUACUUUGCACAAGAUAAUGUCUUGGGUUACCCUGAUACUGGUGGCCAGGUGGUUUACAUCUUGGACCAAGUUCGUGCUUUGGAGCAUGAAAUGCUUCAACGUAUAAAGCAGCAAGGAUUGGACAUAACUCCUCGCAUUCUCAUUAUCACCCGACUCCUUCCAGAUGCAGUAGGAACCACCUGCACCCAGCGUCUCGAGAAAGUAUUUGGGACAGAGCACUCCCACAUUCUUCGAGUUCCAUUCAGAAACGAGAAAGGAAUAGUCCGAAAGUGGAUCUCACGAUUUGAAGUCUGGCCUUACCUAGAGACUUACACCGAGGAUGUUGCACAGGAACUUACCAAAGAGUUGCAGGGAAAACCCGAUCUGAUCAUUGGAAACUACAGCGACGGCAAUAUCGUUGCCUCAUUGCUGGCACAUAAACUGGGAGUUACACAGUGUACUAUCGCUCAUGCCUUGGAGAAAACUAAAUAUCCUGAUUCAGAUAUUUAUUGGAAGAGAUUUGAUGACAAGUAUCACUUCUCAUCCCAAUUCACAGCUGAUCUUAUUGCCAUGAACCAUACCGAUUUCAUCAUCACAAGUACUUUCCAAGAGAUUGCUGGCAGCAAAGAUACAGUUGGACAAUAUGAGAGUCACACAGCUUUCACUCUUCCGGGGCUCUACCGAGUGGUCCACGGAAUUGAUGUGUUUGAUCCCAAGUUCAACAUUGUUUCACCUGGAGCAGACAUGAGUAUCUACUUCCCGUACACAGAGACCGAGAAGAGGCUGACUUCCUUCCACCCUGAAAUCGAGGAGCUUCUUUAUAGUGAAGUUGAGAAUGAGGAACACUUGUGUGUAUUGAAAGAUCGGUCCAAGCCGAUCAUAUUCACAAUGGCGAGAUUGGAUCGUGUGAAGAACAUAACUGGACUUGUCGAGUGGUACGGCAAGAACAAGCGCCUUAGGGAGUUGGUUAACCUAGUGGUUGUGGCUGGAGACCGGAGGAAGGAGUCUAAGGACAAUGAAGAGAAGGCUGAGAUGGAAAAGAUGUAUAGCCUAAUAAAGACCUACAACCUGAAUGGCCAAUUUAGAUGGAUUUCUGCACAGAUGAACCGAGUAAGAAACGGUGAACUCUACCGAUGCAUUGCAGACACGAAGGGAGCUUUUGUGCAGCCUGCUGUGUACGAAGCUUUCGGUUUGACAGUUGUGGAGGCCAUGACCUGUGGAUUACCUACCUUUGCCACAUGCAAUGGAGGUCCUGCUGAGAUUAUCAUCGACGGUAAAUCUGGCUUCCAUAUCGAUCCAUACCGUGGUGAUCGUGCUGCUGAAAUCCUUGUCGACUUCUUCGAGAAGAGCAAGGAAGACCCAUCACAUUGGGAUAAAAUCUCCCAAGCAGGCCUCCAGCGUAUCUACGAGAAGUAUACAUGGCAGAUCUAUUCGGAGAGGCUGCUAACACUAACUGGAGUUUACGGAUUCUGGAAGCAUGUAUCCAACCUUGACCGCCUCGAGAGCCGCCGUUAUUUGGAAAUGUUUUACGCCCUCAAGUACCGCAAGCUGGCUGAUUCUGUGCCACAGGCUGUGGAUGAGUGAGAAAGCUUGGAAGGGAAAUGAAAGAGGGGAGCAUCAGUAAUGGAGAAAAAUAGUUGUUCUCUGAUUUCCACAGGAGUUAAUAAAAAGAGAGAUAUGUUGAUGCUUCCUGCAAAUGUGAAUAAU
This 2592-nucleotide unclassified non-coding RNA is filed under the name Hevea brasiliensis (rubber tree). The record is from RNAcentral. Lineage: Eukaryota; Viridiplantae; Streptophyta; Magnoliopsida; Malpighiales; Euphorbiaceae.